AGAUGGUAUCCUGUAAGUGACCUCGGCUCCCCAGAGCGCUGACCCCUAAGCCCUGCCACCCCCUGGACUGGAUCCCGGGCCUCCCCAACCCGAUCUUGGCCGCCUCUCCCGCGGCCCCAUUUUCCUUCGAAGGAGGGAAGAUUUCAACACUACACUUGCACAAUGUCUUUGAAACCAAGAGUAGUAGAUUUUGAUGAAACAUGGAACAAACUUUUGACGACAAUAAAAGCCGUGGUCAUGUUGGAAUACGUCGAAAGAGCAACAUGGAAUGACCGUUUCUCAGAUAUCUAUGCUUUAUGUGUGGCCUAUCCUGAACCCCUUGGAGAAAGACUUUAUACAGAAACUAAGAUUUUUUUGGAAAAUCACGUUCGGCAUUUGCAUAAGAGAGUUUUGGAGUCAGAAGAACAAGUACUUGUUAUGUAUCAUAGGUACUGGGAAGAAUACAGCAAGGGUGCAGACUAUAUGGACUGCUUAUAUAG
RNAcentral lists this small RNA (479 nucleotides) under Pan troglodytes (chimpanzee). RNAcentral describes it as "processed transcript". The record is from RNAcentral. Lineage: Eukaryota; Metazoa; Chordata; Mammalia; Primates; Hominidae.